CCCGCAGCCCGCGCCCUGCGUCCUCUUCGCCGCCCGGCACGCCAGCGCCGCCACGAACCUCAAGGACGUCCUGGCCGAGCUGAUCCCCAAGGAGCAGGCCAAGAUCAAGAGCUUCCGGCAGCAGCACGGCAGCACGGCCAUCGGGAACAUCACGGUGGACAUGGUGUACGGCGGCAUGCGGGGCAUGAAGGGGCUCAUCUACGAGACCUCGGUGCUGGACCC
Long non-coding RNA from Nothoprocta perdicaria, 222 nucleotides. RefSeq lists it as uncharacterized. The transcript has 3 exons. NCBI's taxonomy places the organism in Eukaryota, Metazoa, Chordata, Aves, Tinamiformes, Tinamidae. The record is from RefSeq and is a predicted model, not a curated record.